Molecule: ribosomal RNA, 354 nt
Filed under: uncultured bacterium
Lineage: Bacteria
Description: bacterial SSU rRNA
Rfam family: Bacterial small subunit ribosomal RNA
Source: RNAcentral
UCUACCCCUGUAUUUGGGAUAACUAUGGGAAACUGUACUCUAAUACCGGAUACGUUCAUGUAGUUGCGAUUAUGUGAAGAAAGAUGGCCUCUGACUUAAGCUAUUGUACAGGGAGGAGCUUGCGUACCAUUAGCUAGUUGGUAGGGUAAUGGCCUACCAAGGCAACGAUGGUUAGCGGGUCUGAGAGGAUGAUCCGCCACACUGGAACUGAAACACGGACCAGACUCCUACGGGAGGCAGCAGUGAGGAAUAUUGCGCAAUGGGGGCAACCCUGACGCAGCGACGCCGCGUGGAUGAUGAAGGCCUUCGGGUCGUAAAAUCCUGUCGGGUGGAAAGAAGUGUGAAGUGGUAAUA